Molecule: transfer RNA, 72 nt
Filed under: Bos taurus (domestic cattle)
Lineage: Eukaryota; Metazoa; Chordata; Mammalia; Artiodactyla; Bovidae
Also listed under: 2 other names
Rfam family: tRNA
About the family: Transfer RNA (tRNA) molecules are approximately 80 nucleotides in length. Their secondary structure includes four short double-helical elements and three loops (D, anti-codon, and T loops). Further hydrogen bonds mediate the characteristic L-shaped molecular structure. tRNAs have two regions of fundamental functional importance: the anti-codon, which is responsible for specific mRNA codon recognition, and the 3' end, to which the tRNAs corresponding amino acid is attached (by aminoacyl-tRNA synthetases). tRNAs cope with the degeneracy of the genetic code in two manners: having more than one tRNA (with a specific anti-codon) for a particular amino acid; and 'wobble' base-pairing, i.e. permitting non-standard base-pairing at the 3rd anti-codon position.
Source: Rfam by way of RNAcentral
UCCCUGGCAGUCCAGUGGUUACGACUCCGCACUUCCAAUGCAGGGGCUCGGGUUCCAUCCCUGGUCAGAGAA